AGUGAACGCUGGCGGUAGGCCUAACACAUGCAAGUCGAACGGCAGCACAGUAAGAGCUUGCUCUUACGGGUGGCGAGUGGCGGACGGGUGAGGAAUACAUCGGAAUCUACUUUUUCGGGGGGGAUAACGAAGGGAAACUUACGCUAAUACCGCAUACGACCUACGGGUGAAAGCAGGGGAUCUUCGGACCUUGCGCGAUUGAAUGAGCCGAUGUCGGAGUAGCUAGUUGGCGGGGUAAAGGCCCACCAAGGCGACGAUCCGUAGCUGGUCUGAGAGGAUGAUCAGCCACACUGGAACUGAGACACGGUCCAGACUCCUACGGGAGGCAGCAGUGGGGAAUAUUGGACAAUGGGCGCAAGUCUGAUCCAGCCACACCGCGUGGGUGAAGAAGGCCUUCGGGUUGUAAAUCCCUUUUGUUGGGAAAGAAAAGCAGCAGGUUAAUACCCCGCUGUUCUGACGGUACCCAAAGAAUAAGCACCGGCUAACUUCGUG
Molecule: ribosomal RNA, 492 nt
Filed under: uncultured bacterium
Lineage: Bacteria
Description: partial 16S ribosomal RNA
Rfam family: Bacterial small subunit ribosomal RNA
Source: RNAcentral